Molecule: long non-coding RNA, 924 nt
Organism: Drosophila willistoni
Lineage: Eukaryota; Metazoa; Arthropoda; Insecta; Diptera; Drosophilidae
Exons: 2
Source: RefSeq, a predicted model, not a curated record
CUUGAUGAAUUGACAUUUGACUGUGUAGUAGACUAUUUUUCGAUAAGACAAAUUUGAAAAACACGCCUUGUUUAUUCUGUCAAUUUGAACAAAAAGCAAGUAAUACGAAUUUGGGACAUUUAGUUCAGUUUUUUUAGUUUUUCAGGGAAGGCAGACCAGUUAGGAUAGGGCAUUUUUACUUUAAAUUUGUUUUAGAUGUUAUUAGAAGUAAAAAAAAAAAAACAAAAUACAAAAAUGAAGAUCUAAUUUUGGCUUGUUGUGAAAUUCAAAAUUAAAGAGUUGACUUCUUGCAACCUCCAGCGAUGUCCCAUGCUAAGAAUACCUGGCGACGUUAGCAGCUGGCACAGGACGUCUUGCAUUUACAGAAAGAGCCAAUCAAAUGGAUAAUGAAGACAAGGAUGCCCACUUGACAUUGAACAGCUAUUCGAGAGAUGAUCUAUUCGAGGAUCAAAAACAUGUAGCUAUGGCUCCUUUCUUCAUAUGCGACAAUGAAUAUCGAUGGUCUCCUUAGUUAUCUGGGCGAGAAGAAGGAAGGAGAAUAGCAAAGCCUUCCAUUCUCUGGCCGACAAGGGACCCUUCUCAAAUGUUGGACGAAGGCGUUGCAGAGUAUGCUGACUAUUUUGACUAUUAUGGUUACAGUUCCGGACAAUCAAGAGCGCAUGGACAUUGAAGACAAGGUGGUACCUGAAUUGAGUGAUGGAAUAUCAACUACUCUUCAGAAAUCUGACCAAAAAUUGCAUCAUCUACAUUUAAUGAAGUGGGUCUUGUCCGGAAAGCAGAAGCAUUGUGGGGCUCAGAUUUAGAUACAUUGGACGACCGACUAGCCAGUCUAUUCCAGUUUUAUAAUCGCCGUUUGUUAGAAGCAGAAACCAAAAAACUUGCAGUUUAAAUAAAAAGCCACGCAAGCCAUUUAGAUACUUCGAA